GACGAACGCUGGCGGCAUGCCUAACACAUGCAAGUCGAGCGCGCCGCUCGGGGCGCGGCGCGCAGGGGUGUAUAGCGUGGGGGAACCUGCCUUUAGACGCGAUAUAACCGCGCGAAUGGGGGUCUUACACUGGACACCGUCUUGGGGCCAAAGUUAUCUCGGCGUAGGAUGGGCCCGCGUUGGAUUAGGUAGUUGGUAGGGUAAAGGCCUACCAAGGCGACGAUCCAUAGCUGGUGUGAGAGGAUGAUCAGCCACACUGGGACUGAGACACGGCCCAGACUCCUACGGGAGGCAGCAGUGGGGAAUAUUAGACAAUGGGCGAAAGCCUGAUCCAGCCAUGCCGCGUGAGUGAUGAAGGCCUUAGGGUUGUAAAGCUCUUUCAGCUGGGAAGAUAAUGACGGUACCAGGAGAAGAAGCCCCGGCUAACUCCGUG
RNAcentral lists this ribosomal RNA (433 nucleotides) under uncultured bacterium. Its description in RNAcentral is "partial 16S ribosomal RNA". It matches the Rfam family "Bacterial small subunit ribosomal RNA", at positions 28 to 507 of the family's 1533-position model. The record is from RNAcentral.